This 955-nucleotide non-coding RNA is filed under the name Eleutherodactylus auriculatus. RNAcentral's name for it is "partial 12S ribosomal RNA". It matches the Rfam family "Bacterial small subunit ribosomal RNA". Lineage: Eukaryota; Metazoa; Chordata; Amphibia; Anura; Eleutherodactylidae. The record is from RNAcentral.
CAUAAAGGCUUGGUCCUGACCUUAAAAUCAGUUUCUACUUAACUUACACAUGCAAGUCUCCGCAUCCCUGUGAAUAUGCCUCUAAACCCUCAUAGGCAAAAGAGAGCGGGUAUCAGGCACACUCUGCCCAAGACACCUAGCAACGCCACACCCACAAGGGCCUUCAGCAGUGAUUAAUAUUAAACAUGAGCUCCAGCUUGAUUUAGUUAAAGUAAACAAGGGCCGGCAAAUCUGGUGCCAGCUGCCGCGGUUACACCAGCGGCCCAAAUUGAUUUCUAUCGGCGUAAAGAGUGGUUAAAAAUUUUACAAAACUAGAGUUAAACACAGAUAGGCCCGUCAAACAUCCAUCUACAGGAAACCCAUAUAACGAAAGUUACUCUAAUCAAUUCUAAUUGAGCCCACGAAAGCUAGGACAUAAACUGGGAUUAGAUACCCCAUUAUACCUCGCCGUAAACUUUAACUUACACCCCCUAAAUCGCCAGGGAACUACGAGCAAAGCUUAAAACCCAAAGGACUUGACGGUGCCCCAUAUCCCCCUAGAGGAGCCUGUCCUAUAACCGAUGAUCCUCGUUUAACCUCACCACUUCUAGCUAAUCAGCUUGUAUACUUCCGUCGCCAGCUUACCACGUGAGCGAAACUCAGUUAGCUCAACUGGCUUACUUGCUUAUCAACACCGCCAAUACGUCAGGUCGAAGUGCAGCAAAUGGGGUGGAAAGAGAUUGGCUACACUUUUUAAAUUAAAAAACAACGAAAGGCAGAUAAUUUGAAACUCUGCCAGAAGGUGGAUUUAGUAGUAAAAAGAAUUCAUUAUAUUCCUUUUAAAUAGGCACUGGAGCGUGUACACACCGCCCGUCACCCUCUUCGACAAAUCAUUAUAGUAUUUAACAACCUACAUACCACCAGAGAAGAGGUAAGUCGUAACAUGGUAAGUAUACCGGAAGGUGUACUUGGAAAC